This is a non-coding RNA of Acanthosepion pharaonis, 97 nucleotides long. The record is from the annotation of a GenBank genome assembly. NCBI's taxonomy places the organism in Eukaryota, Metazoa, Mollusca, Cephalopoda, Sepiida, Sepiidae.
UGAAAGAUCGGUUCCCGGAUGAUCACUGAAGUUAAGCAACUUUGAGCCUGGUCAGUACCUAGACGGGUAACCGCUUGGGAAUACCAGGUCCUGUAAG